GGGCCCGUUGCCUAGCCCGGCAUUAUACACAAUCCGUGUAAGUUGGAGUUCGUGUGUUCAAAUCACACCGGGCCCGCCA
This 79-nucleotide transfer RNA is filed under the name Candidatus Thorarchaeota archaeon. Its description in RNAcentral is "tRNA-Thr". Lineage: Archaea; Promethearchaeati; Candidatus Thorarchaeota. The record is from RNAcentral.